AGGAGGAACAGCCCCAGUGGCGGGGCCAGCUCUGGAGCCCUGGAGUCAGCCCCCGCAGUAGCUCCAGAGCUCUCGGUCUGCAGGGCCUGGAGGCUCCGGGCGGGG
This 105-nucleotide microRNA precursor is filed under the name Canis lupus familiaris (dog). RNAcentral's name for it is "mir-8834 microRNA precursor family". It matches the Rfam family "mir-8834 microRNA precursor family". Lineage: Eukaryota; Metazoa; Chordata; Mammalia; Carnivora; Canidae. The record is from Rfam by way of RNAcentral.